This 232-nucleotide ribosomal RNA is filed under the name uncultured bacterium. Its description in RNAcentral is "partial 16S ribosomal RNA". It matches the Rfam family "Bacterial small subunit ribosomal RNA", at positions 1260 to 1500 of the family's 1533-position model. The record is from RNAcentral.
AUGGGAUGCGAAUCUCGAAAGCCUGUCUCAGUUCGGAUUGGAGGCUGAAACCCGCCUCCAUGAAGUUGGAUUCGCUAGUAAUCGCGCAUCAGCCAUGGCGCGGUGAAUACGUUCCCGGGCCUUGUACACACCGCCCGUCAAGCCAUGGGAGCCGGGGGUGCCUGAAGUUCGUGACCGCAAGGAGCGACCUAGGGCAAAACUGGUGACUGGGGCUAAGUCGUAACAAGGUAGC